AUGGUGAUUAGCAGCCCUCCCCAAGGCUCAGAGGAAAUGUGCAGAAAGCUGGUGCUGUUCUUGACUGUAAGGACAGCCAUGGGGAUGGGAAGAAGAAAUGGGACGGUUGAGAGAAAUCCCACAACAUUCAGGUCUCAGCUUCCGCCACUAGGAGUUACAUCUCUCCAAGAGUUGAACUGCCUAAGACUUAACAAGAGUAAACCCAAGCUAUCUGGGAGCGGUGGGGUCUCAACUGCUUCACUUAAGCACCAGAGGUCUCUAGGCCUGAUUGGAAUGAAACCAGAGAAUCAGAAGGGACCGUAGAGGCUCAGCUUCCUGCCUCUGGCUAUAGUCAACUCCCAGGUACCUGGCUAAGGCAGCAGAGCUGUGACACAGCCCUCACCGAGUUCAGUAGAAAAAAUAAAUAAUUUCUUUGGACUUGUUAAUGCAGCAAUGUUUUUAUCUUCCAAAAACAUAUCUAUGUCUUUUGAAUUGUCUUAGGGAUUACAUCUGGCUGGGAAACAAAGGAGAGGGUAGCCUUGAUUAGGAAAAGGUAUCAGAUGAGAGUCAACAACACUAUUCCUGCUGCUAAUCUGAGGCCUGGGGUUGGGAUAAAAUCACUGCCUUUUAAUAUCAAGGCUUCAAUAAAUACUUGUUAGUAAAUGUAUUGACCUACUCCUUUUGUGAAGCUUUGUUCUUCUAUACCUUCCUGCCUCUUCCUGUUAACUUGUGCAUUUGGAAGGGGCUAACAAAGAAUCCCGGACAUCUGAAUUUGGGGACUUCAGAGGCACAUUCGAUAGACUGCAGCAGAAGCCUCGAGCUUAGGACACUUUCCCGACAAAAUAUCUAGGUUUAAUUCAACUCGUGACGUCAGUGGAAAGGGCGCAGAGGUGCCUCCACUGGUGGCCAUCAGCCAGGGUGCUCUGGAGCCUGCAGUAGGCAGGGCCGGCACACAGGAAGUCUAGAGCCUAGAGCCGCCUGCCUAUUGCUCACACUCAGUUCUUUGCACGAGGAGCAACACAAUAUCCAACUGCCGGCCCCUGCUAUUCUCCCAGGAGGAAGGUAACUUCUGUGGUUCAUAGAACUGUUUUAUGC
Molecule: long non-coding RNA, 1074 nt
Filed under: Canis lupus familiaris (dog)
Lineage: Eukaryota; Metazoa; Chordata; Mammalia; Carnivora; Canidae
Description: lncRNA (ENSCAFG00030018839.1)
Source: RNAcentral